UCCGCGAUGGGUCAGUUGGUAGAGUAUCUGCUCGGCACGCGGCGUGUUGCCGGUUCAGUUCCGGCUUGCGGGC
RNAcentral lists this transfer RNA (73 nucleotides) under Fasciola gigantica. Its description in RNAcentral is "tRNA-Ala". The record is from RNAcentral. Lineage: Eukaryota; Metazoa; Platyhelminthes; Trematoda; Plagiorchiida; Fasciolidae.